GGGAAGGUGGCUCAGUGGUAGAGUGUUUGCCUCACAUGCAUGAGGCCCUUUCUCA
This 55-nucleotide transfer RNA is filed under the name Dipodomys ordii (Ord's kangaroo rat). The record is from Rfam by way of RNAcentral. Lineage: Eukaryota; Metazoa; Chordata; Mammalia; Rodentia; Heteromyidae.